RNAcentral lists this ribosomal RNA (254 nucleotides) under uncultured bacterium. Its description in RNAcentral is "partial 16S ribosomal RNA". It matches the Rfam family "Bacterial small subunit ribosomal RNA", at positions 524 to 776 of the family's 1533-position model. The record is from RNAcentral.
GACGUAGGUGGCGAACGUUAUCCGGAAUUAUUGGGCGUAAAGGGUGCGUAGAUGGCUUGAUAAGUUACUGGUCGAUGCCAAACUCAAUUUGACGGAAGCUGGUAAUACUGUUCUGCUUGAGGGCAGGAGAGGUUGAUGGAAUUCUGUGUGGAGCGGUGAAAUGCGUUGAUCUACAGAGGAACACCAAAAAAGGCGAAGGCAGUUAACUAUUCUGUUCCUGACAUUGAGGCAUGAAAGCGUGGGGAGCAAACCGG